CAGUAGCCGCGGUAAUACGUAGGUGGCAAGCGUUGUCCGGAAUUAUUGGGCGUAAAGCGCGCGCAGGUGGUUAAUAAGUCUGAUGUGAAAGCCCACGGCUCAACCGUGGAGGGUCAUUGGAAACUGUUAAACUUGAGUGCAGGAGAGAAAAGUGGAAUCCCUAGUGUAGCGGUGAAAUGCGUAGAGAUUAGGAGGAACACCAGUGGCGAAGGCGGCUUUUUGGCCUGUAACUGACACUGAGGCGCGAAAGCGUGGGGAGCAAACAGGAUUAGAUACCCCAGUAGUCCCUGUCUCUUAUACA
RNAcentral lists this ribosomal RNA (301 nucleotides) under uncultured bacterium. Its description in RNAcentral is "partial 16S ribosomal RNA". It matches the Rfam family "Bacterial small subunit ribosomal RNA", at positions 509 to 808 of the family's 1533-position model. The record is from RNAcentral.